This 255-nucleotide ribosomal RNA is filed under the name uncultured bacterium. RNAcentral describes it as "partial 16S ribosomal RNA". It matches the Rfam family "Bacterial small subunit ribosomal RNA", at positions 96 to 353 of the family's 1533-position model. The record is from RNAcentral.
UGGCGGACGGGUGAGUAAUGUCUGGGAAACUGCCUGAUGGAGGGGGAUAACUACUGGAAACGGUAGCUAAUACCGCAUAACGUCGCAAGACCAAAGAGGGGGACCUUCGGGCCUCUUGCCAUCGGAUGUGCCCAGAUGGGAUUAGCUAGUAGGUGGGGUAACGGCUCACCUAGGCGACGAUCCCUAGCUGGUCUGAGAGGAUGACCAGCCACACUGGAACUGAGACACGGUCCAGACUCCUACGGGAGGCAGCAU